GACGAACGCUGGCGGCGUGCCUAAUACAUGCAAGUAGAACGCACAGUUUAUACCGUAGCUUGCUACACCAUAGACUGUGAGUUGCGAACGGGUGAGUAACGCGUAGGUAACCUGCCUGGUAGCGGGGGAUAACUAUUGGAAACGAUAGCUAAUACCGCAUAAUAUUAAUUAUUGCAUGAUAAUUAAUUGAAAGGUGCAAUUGCACCACUACCAGAUGGACCUGCGUUGUAUUAGCUAGUAGGUGAGGUAACGGCUCACCUAGGCGACGAUACAUAGCCGACCUGAGAGGGUGAUCGGCCACACUGGGACUGAGACACGGCCCAGACUCCUACGGGAGGCAGCAGUAGGGAAUCUUCGGCAAUAGACGAAAGUCUGACUGAGCAACGCCGCGUGAGUGAAGAAGGUUUUCGGAUCGUAAAGCUCUGUUGUAAGAGAAGAACGGGUGUGAGAGUGGAAAGUUCACACUGUGACGGUAUCUUACCAGAAAGGGACGGCUAACUACGCG
Molecule: ribosomal RNA, 505 nt
Filed under: uncultured bacterium
Lineage: Bacteria
Description: partial 16S ribosomal RNA
Rfam family: Bacterial small subunit ribosomal RNA
Source: RNAcentral